GAUGGUUCAACAGAAAAUAACAAGUGAUGCGAUAAAGUUCUGUCAUGAAAGAAAUAGUUAUUUCUUUCAUAGUUCUGUCAAGUUACUGGGAUUUUGUUCGCUCAAAAUUAAAGGGGUUUUUCGGUAAUCUGUAAAUUUGACAAAAUGAUGUGCCCAAUGAGACCUUUAAUGCUCAUCUUCGCUGUAGGAUCAGCUAUAGUUUCGUACAUAUGGAAUUGUGGCUUGUUUUCAAAAAGGACACGAGAAUAAAAGGGAUGCAGAUGAACGGACCAGGCCAACAUGUUGAGGAACUUGAAUGACAUGAUUUUUUAUUCACUGGAUAGAUUUAACAGUUAAGAUUCCUUGAGAUCAAAAUAUAAAUCCGUAAGAUUUUGUUUUACCUUCAAGACUUGACUGGAACUAGUUGAAUCAUCAGCAUGCACUCCCUGCGUGACAGCGUACUCAACCCACUGCCUGACAAAAGCUGCAUCUUCUACAUUAUGACCUGCAAGCUUCUUCGCAUAUUUACGACUCAAAGCAAGAGCUGUCCAGCCUGGUAAAUUUUCAGAAUUAAGGUGUGGCAACUGGAACAAAAGUUGAAACUCUUUUCUUAAAAGCAAUACAAUUAUAGAUGAUCUCCACAUGA
Long non-coding RNA from Bemisia tabaci, 625 nucleotides. RefSeq lists it as uncharacterized. The record is from RefSeq and is a predicted model, not a curated record. Lineage: Eukaryota; Metazoa; Arthropoda; Insecta; Hemiptera; Aleyrodidae.